Molecule: ribosomal RNA, 431 nt
Filed under: uncultured bacterium
Lineage: Bacteria
Description: partial 16S ribosomal RNA
Rfam family: Bacterial small subunit ribosomal RNA
Source: RNAcentral
CCUACGGGGGGCAGCAGUGGGGAAUAUUGGGCAAUGGGCGAAAGCCUGACCCAGCCAUGCCGCGUGAGUGAUGAAGGCCUUAGGGUUGUAAAGCUCUUUCAGUGGGGAUGCGGUACCCACAGAAGAAGCCCCGGCUAACUUCGUGCCAGCAGCCGCGGUAAUACGAAGGGGGCAAGCGUUGUUCGGAUUUACUGGGCGUAAAGGGAGUGUAGGCGGUUCUAUAAGUCAGGCGUGAAAGCCCGGGGCUCAACCCCGGAAUUGCGUUUGAGACUGUAGAACUUGAGUGUCUGAGGGGUAAGCGGAAUUCCCAGUGUAGAGGUGAAAUUCGUAGAUAUUGGGAGGAACACCGGUGGCGUAGGCGGCUUACUGCGACAACUGACGCUGAGGCUCGAAAGCGUGGGGAGCAAACAGGAUUAGAUACCCUUGUAGUC